AUUGAACGCUUGCGGCAGGCCUAACACAUGCAAGUCGAACGGUAACAGGAAACAGCUUGCUGUUUCGCUGACGAGUGGCGGACGGGUGAGUAAUGUCUGGGAAACUGCCUGAUGGAGGGGGAUAACUACUGGAAACGGUAGCUAAUACCGCAUAACGUCGCAAGACCAAAGAGGGGGACCCUCGGGCCUCUUGCCAUCGGAUGUGCCCAGAUGGGAUUAGCUUGUUGGUGGGGUAACGGCUCACCAAGGCGACGAUCCCUAGCUGGUCUGAGAGGAUGACCAGCCACACUGGAACUGAGACACGGUCCAGACUCCUACGGGAGGCAGCAGUGGGGAAUAUUGCACAAUGGGCGCAAGCCUGAUGCAGCCAUGCCGCGUGUAUGAAGAAGGCCUUCGGGUUGUAAAGUACUUUCAGCGGGGAGGAAGGGAGUAAAGUUAAUACCUUUGCUCAUUGACGUUACCCGCAGAAGAAGCACCGGCUAACUCCGUGCCAGCAGCCGCGGUAAUACGGAGGGUGCAAGCGUUAAUCGGAAUUACUGGGCGUAAAGCGCACGCAGGCGGUUUGUUAAGUCAGAUGUGAAAUCCCCGGGCUCAACCUGGGAACUGCAUCUGAUACUGGCAAGCUUGAGUCUCGUAGAGGGGGGUAGAAUUCCAGGUGUAGCGGUGAAAUGCGUAGAGAUCUGGAGGAAUACCGGUGGCGAAGGCGGCCCCCUGGACGAAGACUGACGCUCAGGUGCGAAAGCGUGGGGAGCAAACAGGAUUAGAUACCCUGGUAGUCCACGCCGUAAACGAUGUCGACUUGGAGGUUGUGCCCUUGAGGCGUGGCUUCCGGAGCUAACGCGUUAAGUCGACCGCCUGGGGAGUACGGCCGCAAGGUUAAAACUCAAAUGAAUUGACGGGGGCCCGCACAAGCGGUGGAGCAUGUGGUUUAAUUCGAUGCAACGCGAAGAACCUUACCUGGUCUUGGCAUCCACGGAAGUUUUCAGAGAUGAGAAUGUGCCUUCGGGAACCGUGAGACAGGUGCUGCAUGGCUGUCGUCAGCUCGUGUUGUGAAAUGUUGGGUUAAGUCCCGCAACGAGCGCAACCCUUAUCCUUUGUUGCCAGCGGUCCGGCCGGGAACUCAAAGGAGACUGCCAGUGAUAAACUGGAGGAAGGUGGGGAUGACGUCAAGUCAUCAUGGCCCUUACGACCAGGGCUACACACGUGCUACAAUGGCGCAUACAAAGAGAAGCGACCUCGCGAGAGCAAGCGGACCUCAUAAAGUGCGUCGUAGUCCGGAUUGGAGUCUGCAACUCGACUCCAUGAAGUCGGAAUCGCUAGUAAUCGUGGAUCAGAAUGCCACGGUGAAUACGUUCCCGGGCAA
This 1363-nucleotide ribosomal RNA is filed under the name uncultured bacterium. RNAcentral describes it as "bacterial SSU rRNA". It matches the Rfam family "Bacterial small subunit ribosomal RNA", at positions 28 to 1381 of the family's 1533-position model. The record is from RNAcentral.